RNAcentral lists this ribosomal RNA (256 nucleotides) under uncultured bacterium. RNAcentral describes it as "partial 16S ribosomal RNA". It matches the Rfam family "Bacterial small subunit ribosomal RNA", at positions 524 to 776 of the family's 1533-position model. The record is from RNAcentral.
UACGAAGGGUGCAAGCGUUUAAUCGGAAUUACUGGGCGUAAAGCGUGCGUAGGCGGUUUGUUAAGUCCGUUGUGAAAGCCCUGGGCUCAACCUGGGAAUUGCAGUGGAUACUGGCAAGCUAGAGUCAGGUAGAGGGUGGUGGAAUUCCCGGUGUAGCGGUGAAAUGCGUAGAGAUCGGGAGGAACAUCUGUGGCGAAGGCGGCCACCUGGACCAUGGACUGACGCUGAGGCACGGAAAGCGUGGGGAGCAAACAGG